AGUAACUCGCUGGGGUGCGGCCAUUAGCGUCGCUGAGAAACACCCAUUGAACCUGAACCAGGUAAUUCUGGCGUAGGAAGUGAGACAUCGCAACAU
Molecule: non-coding RNA, 96 nt
Filed under: Chromatiales bacterium
Lineage: Bacteria; Pseudomonadati; Pseudomonadota; Gammaproteobacteria; Chromatiales
Description: TPP sequence
Rfam family: TPP riboswitch aptamer (THI element)
About the family: Vitamin B(1) in its active form thiamin pyrophosphate (TPP) is an essential coenzyme that is synthesised by coupling of pyrimidine and thiazole moieties in bacteria. The previously detected thiamin-regulatory element, thi box was extended, resulting in a new, highly conserved RNA secondary structure, the THI element, which is widely distributed in eubacteria and also occurs in some archaea.
Source: RNAcentral